This 440-nucleotide ribosomal RNA is filed under the name uncultured bacterium. RNAcentral describes it as "partial 16S ribosomal RNA". It matches the Rfam family "Bacterial small subunit ribosomal RNA", at positions 338 to 795 of the family's 1533-position model. The record is from RNAcentral.
CCUACGGGAGGCAGCAGUGGGGGAUAUUGCACAAUGGGGGGAACCCUGAUGCAGCGACGCCGCGUGGGUGAAGAGGAGCCUCGGCGCGUAAAGCCCUGUCAGCAGGGAAGAAAAUGACGGUACAUGAAGAAGAAGCCGCGGCUAACGACGUGCCAGCAGCCGCGGUAAUACGGAGGGGGCAAGCGGUAUCCGGAUUUACUGGGGGGAAAGGGGGCGCAGACGGCGCUGCAAGCCAGGAGUGAAAGCCCGGGGCCCAACCCCGGGACUGCUCUUGUAACUGCGGGGCUGGAGUGCAGGAGGGGCAGGCGGAAUUCCUGUUGUAGCGGUGCCAUGCGUAGAUUUCAGGAGGCACCCCGGUGGCGCAGGCGGCCUGCUGGACUGCAACUGACGUUGCGGCCCGCAAGCGUGGGGAGCAAACAGGAUUAGAUCCCCCGGUAGUC